AUGGGCGUGCAGCAAAAAAAAGAGCGUCGAGGCUCAUGUCAUAGCGGAGGCGAGAGCGGGGCACGAGGAGCAAGGCGAGAAGCAGCACAACGGAGGUGCUGCCGGGCACUAGUGGUGGUGGAGCAGGGCUCCACGCGAACAGGGCCGUGGUGGAGGUCGCCAUCGGGCGCGCAAGCACGAGGAGCAGGGGCGCCCUUGGGUCGUGCAGAAGAGGAGGCCGGAGCAAGGCAAGGAGGGCGAUGGGGACGUCACAGAGUUGAGGCGCGGGGCGGAGAUGAUGGAGCAAAGGAACCGGCGAAGCAGCAUAGGGAAAACGGGAGCAGAGGAGCGUCCGGGCCAGCGGCAGGGAGCUACGUGGCGGCGCCAUGGCCUGAGGCAAUGGUGCUGGCCACGGGGAGGUCCGGCGGCGCGUGGGAAGAGCAGCUGCAGUAG
This 432-nucleotide ribosomal RNA is filed under the name Triticum aestivum (bread wheat). RNAcentral's name for it is "partial small subunit ribosomal RNA". Lineage: Eukaryota; Viridiplantae; Streptophyta; Magnoliopsida; Poales; Poaceae. The record is from RNAcentral.